Molecule: ribosomal RNA, 119 nt
Organism: Cercocebus atys (sooty mangabey)
Lineage: Eukaryota; Metazoa; Chordata; Mammalia; Primates; Cercopithecidae
Source: Ensembl
GUCUACUACUAUACCACCCUGAACGUGCCCGAUCUCGCCUGAUCUCAGAAGCUGUGCAGGGUCAGGCCUGGUUAGUACUUUAAUGGGAGACCGUCUGGGAAUACCAGGUGCUGUAGGCU